This 254-nucleotide ribosomal RNA is filed under the name uncultured bacterium. RNAcentral's name for it is "partial 16S ribosomal RNA". It matches the Rfam family "Bacterial small subunit ribosomal RNA", at positions 524 to 776 of the family's 1533-position model. The record is from RNAcentral.
UACGGGGGGAGCAAGCGUUGUUCGGAUUUACUGGGCGUAAAGGGCGCGUAGGCGGUCAGCACAAGUCAGUUGUGAAAUCUCCGGGCUUAACUCGGAAAGGUCAACUGAUACUGUGCGACUAGAGUGCGGAAGGGGCAACUGGAAUUCCCGGUGUAGCGGUGAAAUGCGCAGAUAUCAGGAGGAACACCGGUGGCGAAGGCGGGUCUCUGGGCCGUAACUGACGCUGAGGUGCGAAAGCGUGGGGAGCAAACAGG